UUAAGCGACUAAGCGUACACGGUGGAUGCCCUGGCAGUCAGAGGCGAUGAAGGACGUGCUAAUCUGCGAAAAGCGUCGGUAAGGUGAUAUGAACCGUUAUAACCGGCGAUGUCCGAAUGGGGAAACCCAGUGNNNNNNNNNNNNNNNNNNNNNNNNNNNNNNNNNNNNNNNNNNNNNNNNNNNNNNNNNNNNNNNNNNNNNNNNNNNNNNNNNNNNNNNNNNNNNNNUGUGAACUCGAAGAGUAGGGCGGGACACGUGGUAUCCUGUCUGAAUAUGGGGGGACCAUCCUCCAAGGCUAAAUACUCCUGACUGACCGAUAGUGAACCAGUACCGUGAGGGAAAGGCGAAAAGAACCCCGGCGAGGGGAGUGAAAAAGAACCUGAAACCGUGUACGUACAAGCAGUGGGAGCACCUUCGGGUGUGACUGCGUACCUUUUGUAUAAUGGGUCAGCGACUUAUAUUCUGUAGCAAGGUUAACCGUAUAGGGGAGCCGCAGGGAAACCGAGUCUUAACUGGGCGUUAAGUUGCAGGGUAUAGACCCGAAACCCGGUGAUCUAGCCAUGGGCAGGUUGAAGGUUGGGUAACACUAACUGGAGGACCGAACCGACUAAUGUUGAAAAAUUAGCGGAUGACUUGUGGCUGGGGGUGAAAGGCCAAUCAAACCGGGAGAUAGCUGGUUCUCCCCGAAAGCUAUUUAGGUAGCGCCUCGUGAACUCAUCUUCGGGGGUAGAGCACUGUUUCGGCUAGGGGGUCAUCCCGACUUACCAACCCGAUGCAAACUACGAAUACCGAAGAAUGUUAUCACGGGAGACACACGGCGGGUGCUAACGUCCGUCGUGAAGAGGGAAACAACCCAGACCGCCAGCUAAGGUCCCAAAGUCAUGGUUAAGUGGGAAACGAUGUGGGAAGGCACAGACAGCCAGGAUGUUGGCUUAGAAGCAGCCAUCAUUUAAAGAAAGCGUAAUAGCUCACUGGUCGAGUCGGCCUGCGCGGAAGAUGUAACGGGGCUAAACCAUGCACCGAAGCUGCGGCAGCGACACUAUGUGUUGUUGGGUAGGGGAGCGUUCUGUAAGCCUGCGAAGGUGUGCUGUGAGGCAUGCUGGAGGUAUCAGAAGUGCGAAUGCUGACAUAAGUAACGAUAAAGCGGGUGAAAAGCCCGCUCGCCGGAAGACCAAGGGUUCCUGUCCAACGUUAAUCGGGGCAGGGUGAGUCGACCCCUAAGGCGAGGCCGAAAGGCGUAGUCGAUGGGAAACAGGUUAAUAUUCCUGUACUUGGUGUUACUGCGAAGGGGGGACGGAGAAGGCUAUGUUAGCCGGGCGACGGUUGUCCCGGUUUAAGCAUGUAGGCUGGUUAUCCAGGCAAAUCCGGAUAAUCAAGGCUGAGGUGUGAUGACGAGGCACUACGGUGCUGAAGUAACAAAUGCCCUGCUUCCAGGAAAAGCCUCUAAGCAUCAGGUAACAUCAAAUCGUACCCCAAACCGACACAGGUGGUCAGGUAGAGAAUACCAAGGCGCUUGAGAGAACUCGGGUGAAGGAACUAGGCAAAAUGGUGCCGUAACUUCGGGAGAAGGCACGCUGGUGUGUAGGUGAAGUCCCUGCGGAUGGAGCUGAGACCAGUCGAAGAUACCAGCUGGCUGCAACUGUUUAUUAAAAACACAGCACUGUGCAAACACGAAAGUGGACGUAUACGGUGUGACGCCUGCCCGGUGCCGGAAGGUUAAUUGAUGGGGUUAUCCGUAAGGAGAAGCUCUUGAUCGAAGCCCCGGUAAACGGCGGCCGUAACUAUAACGGUCCUAAGGUAGCGAAAUUCCUUGUCGGGUAAGUUCCGACCUGCACGAAUGGCGUAAUGAUGGCCAGGCUGUCUCCACCCGAGACUCAGUGAAAUUGAACUCGCUGUGAAGAUGCAGUGUACCCGCGGCAAGACGGAAAGACCCCGUGAACCUUUACUAUAGCUUGACACUGAACAUUGAGCCUUGAUGUGUAGGAUAGGUGGGAGGCUUUGAAGCGUGGACGCCAGUCUGCGUGGAGCCAACCUUGAAAUACCACCCUUUAAUGUUUGAUGUUCUAACGUUGGCCCCUGACCGGGGUUGCGGACAGUGUCUGGUGGGUAGUUUGACUGGGGCGGUCUCCUCCCAAAGCGUAACGGAGGAGCACGAAGGUUAGCUAAUCCUGGUCGGACAUCAGGAGGUUAGUGCAAUGGCAUAAGCUAGCUUGACUGCGAGCGUGACGGCGCGAGCAGGUGCGAAAGCAGGUCAUAGUGAUCCGGUGGUUCUGAAUGGAAGGGCCAUCGCUCAACGGAUAAAAGGUACUCCGGGGAUAACAGGCUGAUACCGCCCAAGAGUUCAUAUCGACGGCGGUGUUUGGCACCUCGAUGUCGGCUCAUCACAUCCUGGGGCUGAAGUAGGUCCCAAGGGUAUGGCUGUUCGCCAUUUAAAGUGGUACGCGAGCUGGGUUUAGAACGUCGUGAGACAGUUCGGUCCCUAUCUGCCGUGGGCGCUGGAGAAUUGAGGGGGGCUGCUCCUAGUACGAGAGGACCGGAGUGGACGCAUCACUGGUGUUCGGGUUGUCAUGCCAAUGGCACUGCCCGGUAGCUAAAUGCGGAAGAGAUAAGUGCUGAAAGCAUCUAAGCACGAAACNUGUGACGCCUGCCCGGUGCCGGAAGGUUAAUUGAUGGGGUUAUCCGUAAGGAGAAGCUCUUGAUCGAAGCCCCGGUAAACGGCGGCCGUAACUAUAACGGUCCUAAGGUAGCGAAAUUCCUUGUCGGGUAAGUUCCGACCUGCACGAAUGGCGUAAUGAU
RNAcentral lists this ribosomal RNA (2796 nucleotides) under Klebsiella pneumoniae. Its description in RNAcentral is "23S ribosomal RNA". It matches the Rfam family "Bacterial large subunit ribosomal RNA". The record is from RNAcentral. Lineage: Bacteria; Pseudomonadati; Pseudomonadota; Gammaproteobacteria; Enterobacterales; Enterobacteriaceae.